GGGGAUGGUAAAAGUGCCUUGUUCUGGGAUGACAUGUGGCACCAAUUUGUCCUUAAACACAAGUUCCAUCACCUUCAUACCUUUGUUAGAAAUCCACACUUAAAUGUCCAUCAAGUAAUCAACACUGAAUAUCUUCAAGACCUCUUCUAUCUACCACUGACAACACAAGCAUAUGAGGAAUUCUUGGAAAUGGAAAAUAUAUGCAUUACAUUAAGACAGUCUGAUUACUUGGACUUGAUGGACACAUGGAACUAUAUAUGGGGAAAUGAAUUCUACUCUUCCAUUAAAGCCUACAAUGUACUGAUUGGACACAAACAAACACCACCACACUUCAACUUGAUCUGGAGGAGCUCCUGUUAG
RNAcentral lists this ribosomal RNA (360 nucleotides) under Triticum aestivum (bread wheat). Its description in RNAcentral is "partial small subunit ribosomal RNA". The record is from RNAcentral. Lineage: Eukaryota; Viridiplantae; Streptophyta; Magnoliopsida; Poales; Poaceae.